RNAcentral lists this ribosomal RNA (378 nucleotides) under uncultured organism. RNAcentral describes it as "partial 16S ribosomal RNA". It matches the Rfam family "Bacterial small subunit ribosomal RNA", at positions 527 to 897 of the family's 1533-position model. The record is from RNAcentral.
GGAGGGUGCAAGCGUUAAUCGGGAAUUACUGGGGCGUAAAGCGCGCGUAGGCGGCUAAUCAAGUUGGAUGUGAAAGCCCUGGGGCUUAAACCUGGGGAACUGCAUUCAAAACUAAUUGGCUAGAGUAUAGUAGAGGUGAGUGGAAUUUCCGGUGUAGCGGUGAGAUGCGUAGAUAUCGGAAGGAACACCAGUGGCGAAGGCGGCUCACUGGACUAAUACUGACGCUGAGGUGCGAAAGCGUGGGGAGCAAACAGGAUUAGAGACCCUGGUAGUCCACGCCGUAAACGAUGAGAACUAGCUGUUGGGGAGCGUUGACUCUCUAGUAGCGUAGCUAACGCGUUAAGUUCUCCGCCUGGGGAGUACGGUCGCAAAGAUUAA